GAAGUGUAAUAAUAAAUAUUGGUAGUAGGAACUCCAUAAAUUUUGGGGUAUUUAAAACUUAUGAUCACUCCAACUUAAGACAAUAGAAUUCAAACUAAACUCCAUUGUAAGUUGAGGACUACUUGUAUAAUAAUCUACUAUAGAUAAGAAGAAAGUGAAUAUAUUAAAUAGAAAUGUUUCAUAAUAUGAAGCCAAAUAAGGGUAAAAGAAAUGAAAUUUAAUUGUAAAUAAAUUCAUUGGAAUAUAUAUAUAUAUAUAUAUAUAUAUAUAGAUCAAAGUUUAAAGAAAUGAAAUAAUUCUAAGCCAUAACAACAUUAAGCAUUUGAUUCUUAAUGAUUUUAACAUUAAGUAUAAAAACAAUUUGAUUACUAAUUGGAUUUCAAUGAAGUUUUAAAUAUUCAUGAUUAAUAAUAUAUGUCAAUAUUUGUUAUAUUGUAUUUUUUCAUUUAAAUUUUAUAAAAAAAUCUAUAUUUUCUUUCCAUAUACAGUAGGACCUCCAUAUCCAUUGGGGAUAGGACAUCUGAAACAAUGGAUAAUAGCAAGCACUAUAUAUGUGCAUGCUAUACAUACCUAUGAUAGUUUAAUUUAUAAAUUAGACACAAUAAGACAUUAACAACAAUAACUAAUUAU
Molecule: long non-coding RNA, 630 nt
Filed under: Androctonus crassicauda
Lineage: Eukaryota; Metazoa; Arthropoda; Arachnida; Scorpiones; Buthidae
Source: RNAcentral